GCACAAGCGGUGGAUGAUGUGGAUUAAUUCGAUGCAACGCGAAAACCUUACCUACCCUUGACAUGUCUGGAAUCUUGGUGAGAGCCGAGGGUGCCUUCGGGAGCCAGAACACAGGUGCUGCAUGGCUGUCGUCAGCUCGUGUCGUGAGAUGUUGGGUUAAGUCCCGCAACGAGCGCAACCCUUGUCACUAGUUGCCAUCAUUUGGUUGGGCACUCUAGUGAGACUGCCGGUGACAAACCGGAGGAAGGUGGGGAUGACGUCAAGUCCUCAUGGCCCUUAUGGGUAGGGCUUCACACGUCAUACAAUGGUCGGUACAGAGGGUUGCCAAGCCGCGAGGUGGAGCCAAUCCCUUAAAGCCGAUCGUAGUCCGGAUCGUAGUCUGCAACUCGACUACGUGAAGUCGGAAUCGCUAGUAAUCGCAGGUCAGCAUACUGCGGUGAAUACGUUCCCGGGUCUU
This 457-nucleotide ribosomal RNA is filed under the name uncultured Thauera sp. RNAcentral describes it as "bacterial SSU rRNA". It matches the Rfam family "Bacterial small subunit ribosomal RNA", at positions 923 to 1382 of the family's 1533-position model. The record is from RNAcentral. Lineage: Bacteria; Pseudomonadati; Pseudomonadota; Betaproteobacteria; Rhodocyclales; Zoogloeaceae.